This 2440-nucleotide long non-coding RNA is filed under the name Theobroma cacao (cacao). RNAcentral describes it as "long non-coding RNA (TCAC_LNC001867)". The record is from RNAcentral. Lineage: Eukaryota; Viridiplantae; Streptophyta; Magnoliopsida; Malvales; Malvaceae.
CACUCUUAUGGCCGGCCAAGCAAGGGAACAAAGAGAAAAAGAGAAGAACAAACCCUAGGAAAGAAAAAUUCAAGAGAAAUUGUUGGAUUUCAAGGAAUCAAGCAAGUAAAGGUAAGAUUUUUUAAUUUUAUCUUGUAAUCUACCUUUCCCAUGCAUUCGUUUUCAUUCUCCAUGGCUGAAAUUCAGGUUUUCAAGAGGGAACUUUUGCUGGCCAAAUCUAGAGAGAGAAGUUUUGGUGAAGAAUUUUGCUAGAUUUCAUAAUAUCCUAGUGUUUUUAGUCAUUUUGUGAUGUUUGGAAGGAAAAACAAGCAAGAAAAUCACAUGUUCUUCAAUAACCCUCAUUUGGCUGAAUUUUCUAUAGGGCAUGUUGAUGAUGGAUUUGGUUGUAAUUCAUGUUAUUUAGAUAGGAAUUGAUGAAUUAUGAUAUUGGAUAUCGAAAUCGGAAUGAAUUUCGGUUACGGUGAAUUAAGUCACAAUUAAGCUCAUUGAGGUACUUUGGUGUAUUUGGAAUAUUGGAAGUGUAAUGAAGAUAUUUGGAGUUGAAUUGGAUGUUUUGGCUAAUUAAACAAGGCAUAGUAUGAGUUAGGUCAAAUGCCAAUUUAGUCCGAUCAUAAUUGAACCCACAUAGAACAUCGUCUUUAAGUGAUUCUUUGGACAAUUCUCAUUCAAUGUCAUGCAUUCAUAUAGAGCCUGAAAUAGUUUUAUAAUAGUUUGACACAAAUAUAUUGAAUUACGUGUCGUGUAUUAUGUAUAGGUGGUGAGCCCUUUGAUAAGGAUAAAGAUAUUGUGCCCGAGGACCAAGAAUAAGAGCACUCCAAACUCUUACUAAUGUGAGUAAUCAGACUUUCAUCUUAACUAUCUAAAGUAAUUUAUACUCGUUUUUAUGAUUUUAAAGAAAAAUGAGUGUAAAUUGUAAAUUAUUAUGUGUUAAAAUUGAAGUGUUGGUUAAACGAAAUGAGAUUUAUAACUAUUUUGAAAUUGAAUACUGGUUUUGGAAAUUGAGUAAGUGGAGACUGUAUACUUGUGUUAUAUAUAUGUUUUGACAUAUGGUUUGCAUUGAUGGCUUAUGACAAUGUGAUGGCACGCAUGGUUGGAUUUGUGUUUGUGUGGAAUAUAUGAACUGUUUUGCUUUACCUUGAUAGGCUGGUAAUAUUAUAUUAGCCAUGUCAUGUUGUCGAAAAUUUUAUUGAAUUGGUGGGUUAUUUGAUUAGCUUACUGCAAUGGGCGAGUUUUCGUGAACCAGCCUAUUGAGGGGCACGGUAAACUCGGUUAUAUUUUACCUUGGUACGAGAGGCGCGGAGGGUAUCUCCUAAGGUAACGUUAGAGUUCACCUCACGUCGAACCACCACGUGAGGGUGAAACUCAGCCAACGACAAGGAAUGGCUGUGCUUUUAAAUGUAAAAGAAAAAUGAGUUUUAUACUCAUAUGUUAUUUUAUCAGCCUUGGUGGACUCGGUUGGAUGCCUCGGCGUAAGGUGUCACCGAGUGUAAAUUUUUGGCACGAGCCAAGUUUUUACGAGAAUCAUAAGCCUUGUUGAUUUUUAUGAAAUGAAAUUGAUUUAUAUGAAAUGAAAUGAGAUUUGAUGUUAUGAAUCAUAUUUUGAUAAGAUAUUUUAAAUUGUCUCCAUUUACUCGACUUUAGAUGUUUUAGAUGAAAUUUGCUUACUCACUAGGUUUAUAAAAACUCACCCCUUCUUUUUACCCAUUUCAAGCUCAGGAUAGUCUGUAGACAGCCGAUUUUGUCGAUGGUUACUUUUGGAUUUGCAUCCUUAGAAAUUGAAGGUCUACAGUCUUGUAUGUUUUCGAUUAUUUUGGGGCUUACAUGUCAUUAUAGAAUAUUUUUGUAUACCUGGUUUAGUGUGCUAUUAUAUAUAUAAAUUUAUUUUGCUCUUACGCUACAAAAAUUGUUUAUGCAAGAUUCUAUAAAUAUUGUUUUGUAAGAAAAUAAAAUAUUUUUAUUUAAUAUUUUUAUUUAGUUUGAUUAGCCAUAAUUUCACUUCAAAUGGAUGAUGUAGACAACUAAACUUAUUUUUAGAUAUGAAAUGUAUAUUUUUCAUUUAUAUAUUAUAUUUUUAACAGGUUUUGAAAUUUGUAAGUAAAAUGACCAAAAUACCCCUAUGCAGUAGAAAUUACUUUUUGAUCGUUUUGAUUUGAAAAUAGUCUAUAUUCUUUCAAAACAUGAUAUUUAGUAACUGUUGCUCACAGGGGAGAAGUAAAAUUGAUGCAAGAACCUUGCGAGGGUUCGGUUGGCACUCCGGGUAAGGAAUGUCUAUCGAGACAUCGCGACGGUUGUCACGGGCUCGAAGGGAGUACUGGGUCGUGACAAUAUCCAUCCACUUUCGAUAGAUAAAAGUAUCCUUAGAAUAGUGAUUAGUGUAAUCACAAUGAUUGCAAUUAUUAUGGCAAUCUUUUCCACUUCCAUGACCAUAAUUAUUAAAUUA